RNAcentral lists this ribosomal RNA (253 nucleotides) under uncultured bacterium. Its description in RNAcentral is "partial 16S ribosomal RNA". It matches the Rfam family "Bacterial small subunit ribosomal RNA", at positions 524 to 776 of the family's 1533-position model. The record is from RNAcentral.
UACAGAGGUCCCAAGCGUUGUUCGGAUUCACUGGGCGUAAAGGGUGCGUAGGCGGUCGGGUAAGUCUGAUGUGAAAUCUCCAAGCUCAACUUGGAAAUGGCAUCGGAUACUAUUCGGCUCGAGGAAUGGAGGGGAGACUGGAAUACUUGGUGUAGCAGUGAAAUGCGUAGAUAUCAAGUGGCACACCAGUGGCGAAGGCGAGUCUCUGGACAUUUCCUGACGCUGAGGCACGAAAGCCAGGGGAGCAAACGGG